AUGGGGACUCUGCCAGAUACAUUUGGAGAGCCCAAUGUGGGAGGAGAGACCAAGCUCAUGGCCACGUCCUCUGCCUGCCCCAAUCUUACCCUCUUUUCCCAAGAGGGUGUUGCCCUUCUUUUGCCAUUUCUGGGCCUCCUCCCAUCCCAUCCACAUCAUUCCACCCUUCCCACUCCCACUGGAGUCCUGCUAUACCUUGCUCCUGGAACCCCUUUCUCUGUCCUUAGCAUCUCCAAAUGGACUGGACUCCGCAAGCAAGCACUCUGCAGUGGACCCCUUGGGUCAUCCAUUCUGAUGGAAACAGUGAGUGGAAUUAAUCCUAAGUCUGUGAAUUUGGGCAGCUCAUCGACUCUCUCAGCUUUAUCCUCACCGGCUCAAGCCUUCUCCACAGCCCAGCCACGUGAGGGAGUCGUCAGCACUGGAACCCAGGGUCCACGGCCUCGGAGGAUCCGGACCCCCUCUGCAUUUGAGGAACUUGGCCUCCAGUCAGGGAGCCAAGAAGUCCCUGCCAAUCAAGGAGGGGGUGUGGGUUGGUGGGGGAGGCAGCCUUGGGGCAUGGGAGCUAAUAGACCAAGCUUGAGGGUUCUACUCCUGACUUCUGGAUUUUUCCACCUCUGUAUGGAAUAUGUUCCUUCUGUCUAACACUGUGUGAUUUGGGGACCAUCCAACUCAAAUGAAAGAAGCCAAGCCAUGCAGUGAGCCACCCCCUCCCCAAUGUGGGGUGCCCUCUGCCCCCCACCCAGCUCCCCUGCCCUCCCAGCUGAGGGAGGAUCGCCGCCUGGUGAUCUCAGCCUCCCCUCCGAGUGGGCUGUGAAGUGUCUAAUCCAGGCUUUCAUCUGGCAUCCACAAUUAUAAUGUCAAGAUUGAAUAAUCUGCCUUUAUCUCCCGGGUGACAGCCAUGUAGAAACUUCAAAAGAAACAGUUUUGCUGGCAUCUAACGGCUUUUGUUAAUUACUAUAUCCCAAAGAAAAUGAAAUAAAGGAGGGAG
This 988-nucleotide long non-coding RNA is filed under the name Macaca mulatta (Rhesus monkey). RNAcentral describes it as "lncRNA (ENSMMUG00000063020.1)". The record is from RNAcentral. Lineage: Eukaryota; Metazoa; Chordata; Mammalia; Primates; Cercopithecidae.